AGGAAGGUAUGCCCAGGCGACCAUGGCGCCUUCAUCUGGAGUCCAGGAUGGAGACUGUGGGGAAAUGGAACCCAACCAGAGACUGGAGUCCAGCCUAACUCUCAUAUUAACAACCCCCAACUAGCCUGCAGACCCGCCCGCUCGUUAGCCAGUCCGGAAGCUUGGAAAGACAGCGUGGGAUCCUGAAGAAGCCCUGGCCCUGCCGUCAGACAGACCUUGGUCAUCCUCCAGCUGGGUGACUGUGAGCCAGUUACCAAGCCUCAGUUUCCUCUUCUGUAAUACAGGAAGAAGAACCCGGAACCAGCGCCAUUAGGGUGCUCUAGUCCCCCUCACAGAGCUCCUGUGAAGAUGAGGGGAGCGAGGCAUGGCCAGGGCCGGGGAGAGAAAGUGCUCGAUGCCUGACCCUGCGCCCACCUGAAAACGGCGGGUCCCAGAGCCACAGACAAGCUCUGAUGCAGCCAGGUCUUGGUCUUUGACUUGCCAGCUGAGACCACAGCUAAGAGUCCCACAGAACGUGGCCCCAUCAGCUCGCUGUAUUUCGAAGCCCAGGGAAAGGCAGAUGCUUCUGUGGUGAGUUGACAGAAGGAGGCAAGACGCUGCCCCAGGAUAUGGCAGAGCAGAUGCAACGGCACCGCUGAGCUGCCCUCAGGGGGUCCUCAGCCUUGGAGGAGGCGGGAGACCUGGGCUAUGGAGCCACUCACAGGCCCUACUGAGAACAACGUGGUGUCCAUCACAGUCCUCUUCAGAAUGCCCAGAAUAUAGGGAUAAGGAGGUGAAACCGGCGUGUUUAUUAAUACAGUGGAAUAUUCUGUGGCCAAAUCAAAGGAAGACGUUGAGGAUUCUGGUGACACCUGGAAACGUCCUGCUACGGGAAAAAAGCAGGACCCACAAUGCUAUGUGGAUAUUGACUGCGACUAUAUAAUGCCAGCGGGGACCUCUCAGAGAUGGAAUUUGGAGGAAUGUAAUACAGAUGCAAAUAGAGUUUUCCCCACACUGCCUUCUCCCCCAGUGUUUCCUCAUCUCUGUCAACAGCCUUGCCACCUACUCUGUUGCCCAAACCAGAAACUUGAUUCAAACUAGACUUCUCCCUCUGCCCUCAUGCCCCGUUCCUGUUAGUCACAAGUCCUGCUGGUUCCAGCUCUGAGACAGCUUUCAGAGUACUCCUCCUCCUGUUCCCACAUUCACAUCCCCCAGGGGACUCUCUCCUCCCAGCGUGUCUGUUCCCCCCAUGUGCCCCCCACGCUCUGCUCCCCUGGCACCUCUGCCAUGCUGCUGCCCCAGGGCAGAUGUGGCCAAGGGGCUCCUCUCCUCCCGUUCCUCAUUUGCUCCAGGAUCAAGGACACACUUCUUGGCCCAUUGAAGGCCCUUCCGGAUCCACUUCCUUAGCCCAGGCUCUAGCUUCUCCCUGUUUGCAGCCUCCAAGGAGGCUCUCUUUAUUCCUCUUUGCCUGUGAAGACAGCUCCCUCUGGCAGGAAUACCCUUCACUGCCUGAUCUGCCUGGUCAACUCCUAUCCCCCAUUUCAGAUUUUGCCCAAGACUUUCUAAGACGGUAGAAGAAAGAGGUUUCCACUCCAUUCCCCUCCUGAAAACUGUACAGAAGCCACAGGAGAACAGGAAUAGAAGCCUGAACUCCGUCUUUGGUGGAACACGGAGACCUCUCUACUCUUGAAUCUCAAUACAUGGAGGGGGAAGCUGCUGGAGGAGGAUAAAGGGCUCAGCAGAGAGGAGAAACAUCAAACUUCUGUACUUACGAGUGGGGAAGGCGCUACAGAAAUGAGCUGAUUUUCUCUACAGAGACCCAGAAAGGGUCUGGGAUCAGAGGCACCAGGUAUCACAGGAAGUGGGGCAGGACCUGAGAAUGGGGGUAGGGGGUAGUUUGAAAGUCUGUGUUAGAAGCAGUAGACCUCCAAGUCCCACUCCAUCCUAUGCAGCCAGGUGACUGUCCUCCUUACUCCCACAAGAGACCAGAGGUCCUGGUCUCAGAGAUGCCAAGUGUGAAGAGAAGGGGUGAGGUGUCCUAAUAAAGGCUCCCAGCCUCCUUCCCCACCCACUUCCAGGGUACCAGAAUCAGGCUUAUGCCUGCACCCUGCACUAACCCCAUGCAAAGAUUGAAGUGUGUUUUCCCUGGAGGAAUUAAACAAGCCCAAAGAAACGACUGACAGAUGCUUAUGCUCAGGGGUCUGUAGCAGAUAAGCUGGUGGGAGCAACUGAGUGUCCAAUUAACAUGCCACACUCAGGCACUUCAUACCUCCAACCGGCCCUGCAGUGGGGAACCAUUAAAUACCAACACACACCCAAAGAUCACGGACACUUGAGGGACACUUUCUCUCAGUAUUCUGAGGAAGAUAUGAACCAAGAGGAAAUGGAGAUUAUGAAGGGAGCAGAAUAGAAGGUUGAAGAAACCGUAACUGACAUCUUUAGAGAGAUACAAGAACAUAUUGCACCCAUUAAAAAGUAACAGAGUGAAAUAAAAAAGAAAUAGAGAAAAAGAAAGAACGCUUAAAAGUAAAAAUCCUGAUGGUAAAAAUUUAAAAAAGUAUCAAGAGUUGGAAAAUAAAGUUGAGGAACUUCCUCUGUACAUACAACAAAGAGAGACAAAGACGUGAAGCAGAGAAGAGGCAGGAGAGAAAGCGUAAGCAAUUAGGGAUUGGGCUGGGCAUGGUGACUCAUGCUUAUAAUCCCAGUGCUUCAGGAGGCUGAGGUGGGAGGAUUGCUUGAGGCCAGGAGUUUGAGACCAGCCUGGGUAACAUAGUAGAACCACAUUUCUACAGAAAAUAAACAAAUUAGUUGCAUAUGGUGCACCUGUAGUCCCAGCCACUAGGGGAGGCUGAGAUAGGAGGAUCACUUGAGCCCAGUAGGUUUUCUUUUUUUCUUUUUUUUUUUUUGAGAUGGAGUCUCACUCUGUCACCCAGGCUGGAGUGCAAUGGCGUGAUCUUGGCUCACUGCAACCUCCACCUCCGAGGUUCAAGCAAUUCUCCUGCUUCAGCCUCCCGAGUAGGAAGCUUGACAAAUACAGAUUUUGGUACCGGGAGUGGUUCUAGAGGAACAGAAUAUGAAGGACGGAGUUUGUUCAUUGGUUUUGAGGUUUCUAGAGUUGGCUGCUUAAUAUGAUUAGACCCAAAAAUGCUAAGGACUGUAUUUCUAAUAGUUUGGAGAGUACUGAUAGUACUUGGUGAAAACUGUUUAGAGAGUUAUGCGAAAUAAAUGCAUUUGACACUCCUGAUUCACUGCUCGUGAGAGGCAAGAAGUUUAGUGACUCUAUACAUAAUACUUUUGACCGUAUGUGAAGAACCAAGGAACAUAAUGAAGCUGGUUGUUGUUCAGUGGACAAAGUGAUGAAAAUUAUGAACUCAGGGAUUCUGUCUCCUGGCUUCAGAAGCAGACACUGAGCCUCAAAUCUGCUAAGAUUGCACUGAGUGAGAGUCUUAUCUCCUGUAGAAAAAGAGCUGAAAUUGUAAAAAAAACAGACACAAGCUCUUACCAUGCAAGUGGCUGAGCUGCAAGGGAAGAUGCAUGCACAGCCUCACCAGGUGUUUACCGUUAAAGUGAGGGCAUUGAUUGGAAAAUAGGACCCUGCCACUUUUAAUGGGGACAUGUGGGAGGAACCUGAUUAAGCUGGGGACACUGAGUUGGUAAACUCUGAUGAAUAUUUUUUUUGCCAGAAGGAACAGCUUCACCAUUCCCUGUAGUGGCAACAUCCCCUCCCCGACCUAUGCUGCCAUCAGCCUUUCCACCUUUGUCUGAGGAGAUAAACCCUGCACUGCCCGAGGCAAGAGUGAUGGCCUCCCCUGAGGCAGUUGCCAGGCAAGAUAAUAUUGAUUCUCCUCAGAAGCUACCUCCAACACCUCUGUUUGCUUCUAGACCUAUAACUAGACUAAAGUCCUGGCAGGCCCCUAGAGGUGAGGUUGACCCAUGUGACCCAUGAGGAGGUGCACUACACUCAGAAAGAACUGUUUGUGUUCUCUAGUUUAUAUAAUCCGCAAUCUGGAGAACAGGCAUAGGAGUGGAUAUUAAGGGUAUGGGAUAAUGGUGGAAGGAACAUAGAGUUGGAUCAGGCUGAAUUUAUUGACUUGAGCCCACUAAAUAGGGAACUCUGAAUUUAAUGUUGCAGCUUGGGAAGCUCAAAAAGGUUCUAAUAGUCUAUUUUCUUGGUUAGCUGAACUAUGGAUUAAAAGAUGGCCCACUGUGAGUGAGCUGGAAAUGCCUAUCUCCCUUGGCUUAAUGUAGAGGAAGGGAUCCAAAGGCUUGGGGAGAUGGGGGUGUUGGAGUGGUUUAGUCACUUCAGACCUACUUGUCCCAGCUGGAAGGGUCCAGAAGAUAUAACCUUGACCAAUGCCUUGUGAAAUAGAUUUGUAAGGGCAGCAUCUGCAUCUUUGGAGAGCCCUGUAAUUGCUCUUCUCUGUAUGUCAGAUCUAACAGUGGGAACUGCAGUCACUCAACUACAAAAUUUAAAUACAAUGAGAAUAAUUGGAUCCUGAGGUGGCAGGAGCCAAGUGGCAGCACUCAACUUCCAAAGGCAAGGUGGGCGUAGCUACUGUAAUGGACAGCAGAGGCAAAGCAGCAAUCAGAAUAGUCUGACUCUUUUAGAGCUCUGGCAUAGGCUAAUUAAUCAUGGUGUUCCUAGAAGUGAAAUUGAUAGGAAGCCUACUGCAUUUCUACUUAAAUUAUACAAGCAGAAAACUUCUAGGUCGAAUGGACAAAAGGCUAAUUUGAAUUAUAAAAACAGAGAAUCAUGGCCCCUCGAUCAAUUUCCCAACUUGAUUUACAGACCCAGCCAGUUUACAGACCCAGAACCCCUUGAAUGAAGGGGAGGCCAGGUCCCCUUGAGGAAGGACCCCACUACAUUACCCACAAUUUAUGCAGUGAAUCUUUCUCCCAUCCUUCCCCAAGGAGACCUCUAGCCUUUUACCAGGGUAACUGUGCACUGGGAAAAGGGAAAUUAUCAGACGUUUUGGGGACUACUGGACACUGGCUCUGAGCUGACAUUGAUUUGAGGGGACUGAAAACGUCAUUAUGGUCCUCCAGUUAGAGUAGGGGCUUCUGGAGGUCAGGUAAUUCAUGGAGUUUUAGCUCACAUCUGACUUACAGUGGGUCCAGUGGGUUCCCCAGACUCAUCCUGUGGUCAUUUCCCCAGUGCCAGAAUGCAUGAUUGGCAUAGACAUACUUAGCAGCUGGCAGUACCUCCACAUUGGCUCCCUGACUGGUAGGGCUACUAUGGUAGGGUAAGGGCUACUAUGGUGGUAAAGGCCAAAUAGAAGCCAUUAGAGCUGCCUCUACCUAGAAAAAUAGUAAAUAAAAAACAAUAUCACAUCCCUGGAGAGAUUGUGGAGAUUAGUGCCACCAUCAAGGAUUUGAAAGAUGUGGGGGUGGUGAUUCCCACCACAUCCCCAUUCAACUCUCCCAUUUGGUCUGUGCAGAAGACAGACAGAUCUUGGAGAAUGACAGUGGAUUAUCGUAAACUUAACCAAGUGGUGACUCCAGUUGCAGCUGCUAUACCAGAUGUGGUUUCAUUGCUUGAGCAAAUUAACACAUCUCCUGGUACCUGGGAUGCAGCCAUUGACUUGGCAAAUGCCUUUUUCUCCAUUCCUGUCCAUAAGGCCCACCAGAAGCAAUUUGCCUUCAACUGGCAAGGCCAGCAAUAUACCUUCACUGUCCUACCUCAGGGGUAUAUCAACUCUUUGGCUUUGUGUCAUAAUCUUAUUUGGAGAGAACUUGAUCACUUUUUGCUUCUGCAAGAUAUCACACUGGUCCAUUACAUUAAUGACAUUAUGCUAAUUGGGUCCAGUGAGCAAGAAGUAGCAAACACACUGGACUUAUUGGUGAGACAUUUGCAAGCCAGAGGAUGGGAAAUAAAUCUGACUAAAAUUCAGGGACUUUCUACCUCAGUAAAAUUUCUAGGGUUCCAGUGGUGUAGGGCCUGUCGAGGUAUUCCUUCUAAGGUAAAGGAUAAGUUGCUGCAUUUGGCCCCUCCUACAACCAAGAAAGAGGCACAAUGCCUAGUAGGCCUAUUUCGAUUUUGGUGGCAACACAUUCCUCAUUUGGGUGUGUUACUCUGGCCAUUUAUCAAGCAACCCGAAAGGCUACCAGUUUUGAGUGGAGUCCAGAACAGGAGAAGGCUCUGCAACAGGUCCAGGCUGUGGUGCAAGCUGCUCUGACACUUGGGCCAUAUGACCCAGCAGAUCCAAUGGUGCUUGAGGUGUCAGUGGCAGAUUGGGAUGUUGUUUGGAGCUCACAUAGGUGAACCACAGUGGAUGCCUCUAGAAUUUUAGAGCAAGGCCCUGCCAUCUUCUACAGAUAACUACUCUCCUUUUGAGAGAUAGCUCUUGACCUGUUACUGGGCUUUGAUGGAAACUGAACGUUUGACUAUGGGUCAUCAAGUCAUCAUGUGAUCUGAACUGCCCAUCAUGAACUGGGUGCUUUCUGACCCAACUAGCCAUAAAGUGGGUCGUGCACAGCAGCAUUCCGUCAUCAAAUGAAAGUGGUAUAUACGUGAUCUGGCUCAAGCAGGUCCUGAAGACACAAGUAAGUUACAUGAGGAAGUUGCUUAAAUGCCCAUGGUCUCCACUCCUGUCACCCUGCCUUCUCUCUCCAAGCCUGAACCGAUGGCCUCAUGGGGAGUUCCCUAUGGUGAGUUGACAGAGGAAGAGAAGACUAGGGCCUGGUUCCAGACGGUUCUGCACGAUAUGCAGGCACCACCCGAAAGUGGACAGCUGCAACACUACGGCCCCUUUCUAGGACAUCCCUGAAGGACAGCAGUGAAGGGAGACCUUCCCAGUGGGCAGAACUUUGAGCAGCACACCUGGUUCCACACUUUGCAUGGAAGGAGAAAUAGCCAGAUAUGCGAUUAUACACUGAUUCAUGGGCUGUAGCCAAUGGUUUGGCUGGAUGGUCAGGGACUUGGAAGAAGCAUGAUUGGAAAAUUGAUGACAAAGAAAUUUCAGGAAGAGGUAUGCAGAUGGACCUCUCCGAGUGGACAAAAACUGUGAAGAUAUUUGUAUCCCAUGUGCAUGCUCACCAACGAGUGACCUCAGUGGAAGAGGAUUUUAAUAAUCAAGUGGAUGGGAUGACCCAUUCUGUGGACACCACUCAGCCUCUUUUCCCAGUCACCCCUGUCAUAGCCCAAUGGGCCCAUGAACAAAGUGGCCAUGGUGGCAGGGAUGGAGGUUACGCAUGAGCUCAGCAACAUGGACAUCUACUCGCCAGGGCUGACCUGCCUGGCUACGGCCACUGCUGAGUGCCCAAUUUGCCAGCAGCAGAGACCAACACUGAGCCCUCGAUACAGCACCAUUCUUUGGGGUGAUCAGCCAGAUACCUGGUGACAGGUUGAUUAUAUUGGACCUCUUCCAUCAUGGAAAGGGCAGGGGUUUGUCCUCACUGGAAUAGACACUUACUCUGGAUAUGGGUUUGCCUAUCCUGCACGCAGUGCUUCUGCCAAGACUACCAUCCACAGACUCACGGAAUGCCUUAUCCACCAUCGUGGUAUUCCACACAGCAUUGCCACAGACCAAGGCACUCGCUUUACGGCUAAAGAAGUACAGCAGUGGGCUCAUGCUCAUGGAAUUCACUGGUUUUACCAUGUUCCCUAUCAUCUUGAAGCAGCUGGAUUGAUAGAAUUAUGGAGUAGACUUUUGAAGUCACAAUUACAGCACCAACUAGGUGACAGUACUUUGCAGGGCUGGGGCAAAGUUCUCCAGAAGGCCGUGUAUGCUCUGAAUCAGCAUCCAGUAUAUGGUACUGUUUCUCCCAUAGCCAGCAUUAAUGGGUCUAGGAAUUAAGGGGUGGAAGUGGAAAUGGCACCACUUACCAUCACCCCUAGUGAUCCCACUAGCAAAAUUUUUGCUUCCUGUUCUCAUGACAUUACGUUCUGCUGGCCUAGAGGUCUUAGUUCUGGAGUGAGGAAUGCUGUCACCAGGAGACACAACAAUGAUUUCAUUAAACUGGAAGUUAAGAUUGCCACCUGGACACUUUGGGCUCCUCCUACCUUUAAGUCAACAGGCUAAGAAGGAAGUUACAGUGUUGGCUGGGGUGAUUGACCCGGACAAUCAAGAUGAAAUCAGUCUACUACUCCACAACGGAGGUAAGGAAGAGUAUGCAUGGCAUACGGGAGAUCCAUUAGGGCCUCUCUUAGUAUUACCAUGCCCUGUGAUUAAGGUCAAUGGGAAACUACAACAGCCCAAUCCAGACAGGACUACAAAUGACCCAGGCCCUUCAGGAAUGAAGGUUUGGGUCACUCCACCAGGAAAAAAACACAACCUGCUGAGGUGCUUGCUGAAGGCAAAGGAAAUACACAGUGGGUAGUAGAAGAAGGUAGUCAUCAAUACCAUUUACGACCACAUGACCAGCUGCAGAAACGAGGACUGUAACUGUCAUGAGUAUUUCCUCCUUCUUUUGUUAAAAACAUGUUUGUGCAUGUAUACACUUGUACCAAGAAAAUAUCUUCAUUUUAUUUCCUUUUCCUUCAUCGUGUGACAUAAGAUUUAUUGACUUAUUCAUAUCAGCAUUUAAAUAUUGUUAACUUUAUGUAAUAGUAUUUGGGUUGGGGAUUGGCACGUUUCUGGUUGUAUGAAGGAUAGCUGUAUUAUGUCAGGCGUAAUUAUGGCCUCGUUAUUGUCUUUAUUUGAAGAUUAUGUAUGAUCUCAGGAGAUGUGUAUGGGUUCAAGUUGAUAAGGGGUGAACUUGUGACAGUUAAUACUGUGUCAACUUGAUUGGAUUGAAGGAAGUGAUAUUGAUCCUGGGUGUGCCUGUGAGCAUGUUGCCAAAGGAGAUUAACAUUUGCGUCAGUGGGCUGUUGAAGGCAGACCCACACUUAAACAGGUGGGCACCAUCUAAUCAGCCUCCAUAGAAUAUAAAGCAGGCAGAAAAUGUGAAGACAACAGUGGCCUAGCCUGCCAGCCUGCAUCUUUCUCCCAUGCUGGAUGCUUCCUGCCCUUUAACAUUGGACUCCAAGUUCUUCAGUUUUGGGACGUGGACUGCCUCUACUUGCUCCUCAGCUUGCAGAUGGCCUAUCGUGUGACCUUGUGAUCACCAGCCAAAUUAUGAGGAAGCUCAAGCAACCUGUGGAGCAGCCUCAUGGAGAGGACCAAAGACAUUUGGUCCACAGCUCUGGCUGACCUCCCAGCUAGUAGCAAGUGCCAACUUGCUAGGUGUGUGAGUAUACCAUCUUGAAAAUCGAUCCCCAACCUCCAAUUGAACCACCUGACAUUGCAUAGAGCAGAGAUAAGCCAUUGCUGCUGAGCCCACCCCAAACUGCAGAUUUAUGGGCAAAAUAAAUGAGUGGGAUGGUUUGUUAUAUAACAGUAGAAAACAGAUGCCCCCACUCAUUCUCUUUACCUUCCUCCACCAGAGAUGUGCAAAAGUCUUGGGGCCUUAACCUAGGCCCAGACACCAACAGGGAACUGGCCCCCAUGUUCUUGCCUACAAGUUCUUCGAAGUCUCCUGCUCAGCUGUUCGUCUUCCACCUUUGGGGUGGGGGAAUCUUCUGAGAGCCUGGCAAUCCUAUCCCCAUACCUCUCUGAGGUCUUGCCACACCACCGUCUUCCCCACCUCCAAGUUGGCCAUGGAUAUCUUCUCUCAAGGCUUUCUAGGGUGGUUCUUCUCACCCCUUUUCCCACCUCCAGAACUCCUGGCUCCACCUCUAGAAUGGACUAGAGGUAGAGUCUCACUAGAAGUGUCUGCACUCCCUGCCUGGCAAAAUGCCCAAGGUGAGUCAUGACAAAGCUUGCCUUCUGCUGGAAGAGAGGGGAUAGGGACAAUGCUGAGGGAGCUAACCCAGUGUGAGAUUUCAGUGAAUGACUCUGCUAUGGUUUGAAUGUAUUGGAAACUGAAUCCCCAAAUUCAUAUGUUGAUGGUAUUUGGGGGUAGGGCCUUUGGAAGGAUUAGAUAAGGUCAUCAGGAUGGGGCUCUCAUGAUGAGGACUGGUGGCUUUAUAAUAGGAUGAAGAGAGACCUGCGGUGGCAUGCCCUUGCCCUCUCGCCAUGUGAUGAAGCAGUAAGAAGGUUUUCACCAGAUGUAGCCUCUCAACCUUGGACUUCCCAGGCUGCAGAACUAUACAAAAUAAAAUUCUUUUAUCAAUUA
Symphalangus syndactylus (siamang) is the source of this 10074-nucleotide long non-coding RNA. RefSeq lists it as uncharacterized. The record is from RefSeq and is a predicted model, not a curated record. NCBI's taxonomy places the organism in Eukaryota, Metazoa, Chordata, Mammalia, Primates, Hylobatidae.